UACAGAGGUCUCAAGCGUUGUUCGGAUUCAUUGGGCGUAAAGGGUGCGUAGGUGGCGCGGUAAGUCGGGUGUGAAAUUUCGGAGCUUAACUCCGAAACUGCAUUCGAUACUGCAGUGCUUGAGGACUGGAGAGGAGACUGGAAUUUACGGUGUAGCAGUGAAAUGCGUAGAGAUCGUAAGGAAGACCAGUGGCGAAGGCGGGUCUCUGGACAGUUCCUGACACUGAGGCACGAAGGCCAGGGGAGCAAACGGG
This 253-nucleotide ribosomal RNA is filed under the name uncultured bacterium. Its description in RNAcentral is "partial 16S ribosomal RNA". It matches the Rfam family "Bacterial small subunit ribosomal RNA", at positions 524 to 776 of the family's 1533-position model. The record is from RNAcentral.